Salvia splendens (bonfire salvia) is the source of this 162-nucleotide small nuclear RNA. RefSeq annotates it as U1 spliceosomal RNA. The transcript has a single exon. The record is from RefSeq and is a predicted model, not a curated record. Lineage: Eukaryota; Viridiplantae; Streptophyta; Magnoliopsida; Lamiales; Lamiaceae.
AUACUUACCUGGACGGGGUCAAUGGGGCGAUCUGUAAGACCCAUGGCCUAUUUUGGCAACCUCCAUUGCACUUUGGAGGGGUGCCCGACUAAGGUUGGCCCAAGUGGUCGAGCCUGCGUUAUAAUUUGUGUUUGUGGGGGCCUGCGUUCGCGCAGCCCCUAU